GCCAGUGUGGCACAGUGGUUUGAGUGUUGGACUAUAUGCCUCUGAAGACCAGGGUUUGAUUCUCAGCUCAGCCA
RNAcentral lists this transfer RNA (74 nucleotides) under Phrynosoma platyrhinos (Desert horned lizard). RNAcentral describes it as "tRNA-OTHER". The record is from RNAcentral. Lineage: Eukaryota; Metazoa; Chordata; Lepidosauria; Squamata; Phrynosomatidae.